AUUGAACGCUAGCGGCAGGCCUAACACAUGCAAGUCGAGCGGAUGAAGGGAGCUUGCUCCUGGAUUCAGCGGCGGACGGGUGAGUAAUGCCUAGGAAUCUGCCUGGUAGUGGGGGAUAACGUCCGGAAACGGGCGCUAAUACCGCAUACGUCCUGAGGGAGGAAGUGGGGGAUCUUCGGACCUCACGCUAUCAGAUGAGCCUAGGUCGGAUUAGCUAGUUGGUGGGGUAAAGGCCUACCAAGGCGACGAUCCGUAACUGGUCUGAGAGGAUGAUCAGUCACACUGGAACUGAGACACGGUCCAGACUCCUACGGGAGGCAGCAGUGGGGAAUAUUGGACAAUGGGCGAAAGCCUGAUCCAGCCAUGCCGCGUGUGUGAAGAAGGUCUUCGGAUUGUAAAGCACUUUAAGUUGGGAGGAAGGGCAGUAAGUUAAUACCUUGCUGUUUUGACGUUACCAACAGAAUAAGCACCGGCUAACUUCGUG
This 484-nucleotide ribosomal RNA is filed under the name uncultured bacterium. RNAcentral describes it as "partial 16S ribosomal RNA". It matches the Rfam family "Bacterial small subunit ribosomal RNA", at positions 30 to 507 of the family's 1533-position model. The record is from RNAcentral.